Molecule: ribosomal RNA, 433 nt
Filed under: uncultured bacterium
Lineage: Bacteria
Description: bacterial SSU rRNA
Rfam family: Bacterial small subunit ribosomal RNA
Source: RNAcentral
ACCAGCUAACUCUGUGCCAGCAGCCGCGGUAAUACAGAGGGUGCAAGCGUUAAUCGGAUUUACUGGGCGUAAAGCGCGCGUAGGCGGCUAAUUAAGUCAAAUGUGAAAUCCCCGAGCUUAACUUGGGAAUUGCAUUCGAUACUGGUUAGCUAGAGUGUGGGAGAGGAUGGUAGAAUUCCAGGUGUAGCGGUGAAAUGCGUAGAGAUCUGGAGGAAUACCGAUGGCGAAGGCAGCCAUCUGGCCUAACACUGACGCUGAGGUGCGAAAGCAUGGGGAGCAAACAGGAUUAGAUACCCUGGUAGUCCAUGCCGUAAACGAUGUUUACUAGCCCGUUGGGGGCCUUUGAAGGCUUUAAGUUGGCGCAAGCUAACGCCGAUAAGUAGACCCGCUGGGGGAGUACGGGCGCCAAAAACUAAACUCACAUGAAUUGACG